GGGCGGUUAGCUCAGCUGGUUAGAGCGCCUCUCUGAUAAGGAGGAGGUCCCAGGUUCAAGUCCUGGAUCGCCCACCA
RNAcentral lists this transfer RNA (77 nucleotides) under Candidatus Saccharimonadota bacterium. Its description in RNAcentral is "tRNA-Ile". It matches the Rfam family "tRNA". Rfam says of the family: Transfer RNA (tRNA) molecules are approximately 80 nucleotides in length. Their secondary structure includes four short double-helical elements and three loops (D, anti-codon, and T loops). Lineage: Bacteria; Candidatus Saccharimonadota. The record is from RNAcentral. RNAcentral also lists the same sequence under 1 other name.